The sequence is a small nuclear RNA, 165 nucleotides long. Its record names the gene U1. It matches the Rfam family "U1 spliceosomal RNA". Rfam says of the family: U1 is a small nuclear RNA (snRNA) component of the spliceosome (involved in pre-mRNA splicing). Its 5' end forms complementary base pairs with the 5' splice junction, thus defining the 5' donor site of an intron. The record is from Ensembl.
CUAUUCAUUUGGCAGAGAAGAUACCAUCUUCAUGAAGGUGGUUUUGCCUUGAAGAGUCUCCUCUGUUUCUCUCCAGAAGUGCUGACCUCUGCAAUUUUCCCAAAUGUGGGAAACUUGACUGCAGUACUUGGCAGGGGGGGGGGACUGUGUUUGUACUUUCUCUUG